The sequence is a transfer RNA, 78 nucleotides long. It matches the Rfam family "tRNA". Rfam says of the family: Transfer RNA (tRNA) molecules are approximately 80 nucleotides in length. Their secondary structure includes four short double-helical elements and three loops (D, anti-codon, and T loops). The record is from Rfam.
CGCUGUGUGGCAGAAUUGGUUACCUACCGCGUCUGACUACGAAUCAGGAGGCUAUAGGUUAGAAUCCUAUCAUGGCUA